Canis lupus familiaris (dog) is the source of this 1677-nucleotide long non-coding RNA. RefSeq lists it as uncharacterized. The transcript has 3 exons. Lineage: Eukaryota; Metazoa; Chordata; Mammalia; Carnivora; Canidae. The record is from RefSeq and is a predicted model, not a curated record.
UUCACAGGCGGCUUUGUGACAUCACCUCCGUGUUGGCCACUGCUCUUAUUAAAAUCUCACCGAUCCACUUCACUGUUGCCAGGCUUGCGGCCUUUGUCUCCAGCGAGCCUGCUGUCUCCCAGCGCCCCGGAGGCCACGGGGCUUCACACGUCGCGUGAGGUCACCAAACACCUUGUGGAGCAGGACAGCGGCCUCCCCCCAUCUCUGUGCCCCCUUGCCCUCUCUGCUGCUGGCACCUGUCCUGCGGCCUGGCCAGAUCCUGGGCUGGGAGGCCCGCGGUGUGACUCGGGGAGCUCACCCAGACCCACGCUCCUCCACUCUGUGCUGAUGGUGGUUUUGGCCCCUGGGUGCUGGAGGAGACUCUGAGGCCUGGCAGGCUGAAUCUUUCAUGUCGUGUGUCUGCAGAGAGAGGAGCAGUCUGGGAGGCCUUUAAGAAUCAGGAAAAUGGUAUUUCUGUCCUUUGGGAGAAGAACUGAAGAUCUGUCUACAGUGCCCAGAAUACUGAUCUAUACCGUCCUGUCUGUGCAGCCUCAGUGUGCUGGUGCUUGGGGACACGGAAGUUCAGGAGUCCCAGGACUCAGCAGGCACGGCUGAGGGGAAAUGUUACGGGAAGCAGCCCGGCCCCAGCCCCCACGGCCUUUGCGGACGCGCACAGUACACAUUCUGUUCACGCUGUUGGUGACAGACAGUGAUGAUGCUCGCAGCGUCUUUAUGUAAAGAUGUGUCUAAAAAAAAAAAAAAAACAGCUCGGCUCUGAGAAAUGUUCACCUUCUGGAGGGCUCAACAGGCUGUGAGGGGCCCUGAUUUAGUUGGGAAAGCACCAGAGGCUCCUUUGGCUGGGUUGUCUGUCCUGCGAUUGAUUGGAGCCGAGCAGGAAACCCCCGGGGCUCCGUUCUGUUCUGUCACUGAAAUGAUCCAAAGACUUACUUCCCCUCUCCGUCUGGGACUGCCCCGGCUCGGGGCUGCUCCCUCCGCACGGCCGGCCUGAAAGCCCCUAGACUCAGGGGGAUAGCUGCUGGGAUUCACGCUGCUCCCGCCAUCCGUGCUCCCGGAAGGCGAAGAAGCCCCCAUCUAAUGCUGAAUUGUGUUUAUGUAACUCGAAUCCCUGCUUCGUCGCCUGCACCUACAAGAUAAGGCUCUGUAUUUUCUGUUUGUAGCAGGAGCCUUGUCAGCAGAAUCUGGUCCUCCUCAAAGUGUCUCCUGAUCAUUUCUAGAAUCUCUGAGGGGUGACCCCCACCCCCCACAAGAAUGGUACGGCUAAAAAAAAAAAAAAAAAAAGAAUGGUACGUCUAGUCCCCAACUGGCUGCCGCGUCCCGGCCCUGUGACUCCCCGCCGCGUGCUGCCCGCACAGCUGCUGAGAGGGGCCUUCAGGGCCACAGUCCAUCCCGGGGAUGCCCAGGGUGCCGGUCCGGGAUCCUUCAGAGCCAGGAGCACGCUCUUCUUCCAAUGCCGAGGGGCACGUGUCCCCUGGGCCCGCGAGUGGCCCUCGGUCCAGGGUCUUGCAGAUUUGCUCUUCGUCAGUUUCGCUGGCCCGAAGCCAUCACCUUUAGUCAGAACCUCACUGACUCUCCAGAAAGACAAAUUUCCGUUUUUUGGCUCUGCUCCUCUAACCACAGAAACAGCGAACAGCCCCAGGGGAGGGGGUGGGGCAAGGAAGCCCUGACGUCAUUCCUGCA